Molecule: unclassified non-coding RNA, 182 nt
Filed under: uncultured fungus
Lineage: Eukaryota; Fungi
Description: sequence contains ITS1, 5.8S rRNA gene
Source: RNAcentral
AAAAGUCCAACCUGACUCUUUGGGCCCUUCACCGGGUGCAAAGUUAAACCCACUGUGAAAAUAUCAAUUUUGCUUCGGCAGCAGGUCAAGACCAACCUCUUGCACCGUUAGCCUGCCGGUAGCACCAAACCAAACUAGUUUCCAAAAACUUGUCUGAAUUGAAUCAUUAUUGAAUGAAAUCA